GGAAUCUUGCACAAUGGAGGAAACUCUGAUGCAGCGAUGCCGCGUGAGUGAAGAAGGCCUUUGGGUUGUAAAGCUCUUUUGUAGGGGAAGAUAAUGACUGUACCCUAAGAAUAAGGUCCGGCUAACUUCGUGCCAGCAGCCGCGGUAAUACGAAGGGACCUAGCGUAGUUCGGAAUUACUGGGCGUAAAGCGCGCGUAGGCCGUUGAGUUAGUUAAUUGUGAAAUCCCAAAGCUUAACUUUGGAACUGCAAUUAAAACUGCUCGACUAGAGUUUGAUAGAGGAAAGCGGAAUACAUAGUGUAGAGGUGAAAUUCGUAGAUAUUAUGUAGAACACCAGUUGCGAAGGCGGCUUUCUGGAUCAACACUGACGCUGAGGCGCGAAAGUAUGGGUAGCAAAGAGGAUUAGAUACCCUCGUAGUCCAUACCAUAAACGAUGAUUGCUAGAUGUUGGAAAUUUAUUUUCAGUAUCGCAGCUAACGCAUUAAGCAAUCCGCCUGGGGAGUACGACCGUAAGGUUAAAACUCAAAUGAAUUGACGG
RNAcentral lists this ribosomal RNA (538 nucleotides) under uncultured bacterium. RNAcentral describes it as "bacterial SSU rRNA". It matches the Rfam family "Bacterial small subunit ribosomal RNA", at positions 358 to 916 of the family's 1533-position model. The record is from RNAcentral.